Molecule: unclassified non-coding RNA, 232 nt
Filed under: uncultured fungus
Lineage: Eukaryota; Fungi
Description: sequence contains 5.8S rRNA gene
Source: RNAcentral
GAACGCAUAUUGCGCCCUUUGGCAUUCCGAAGGGCAUACCUGUUCGAGCGUCAUUACACCCCUCAAACUUAACUGUUUGAUGUUGGGCAAUGCCUGGAGGCAUGCCUAAAAUUUAGCGAUGGUACAUUAACCCUCAAGCGCCCAAAUGUCGUUAUGUAGGCGAGAUGGCACCAGUCUCAUGAAUUUCUGAAUGUUGACCUCGGAUCAGGUAGGGAUACCCGCUGAACUUAAG